RNAcentral lists this ribosomal RNA (253 nucleotides) under uncultured bacterium. RNAcentral describes it as "partial 16S ribosomal RNA". It matches the Rfam family "Bacterial small subunit ribosomal RNA", at positions 524 to 776 of the family's 1533-position model. The record is from RNAcentral.
UACAUAGGUCUCAAGCGUUGUUCGGAUUCAUUGGGCGUAAAGGGUGCGUAGGCGGCUCGGUACGUCGGGUGUGAAAUCUCGGAGCUUAACUCCGAAACUGCAUUCGAUACUGCCGUGCUUGAGGACUGGAGAGGAGACUGGAAUUUACGGUGUAGCGGUGAAAUGCGUAGAUAUCGUAAGGAAGACCAGUGGCGAAGGCGGGUCUCUGGACAGUUCCUGACGCUGAGGCACGAAGGUCAGGGGAGCAAACGGG